UUGCUCACCUGUAGCCUCGCAAAUGCCUAGGAGGCUUCGAUUUCGCAUGAUUUGCUUAGUUCACCACGCCUCCUUUUGUAUAGUGUAAGGUGUGUGGUGUGCCGAAAGUGAAGCUAGCUCUUAGUAAUACUUGGGAUCUUGUGCUUGUCCGCAAGUAUUUGCAGCAGCGUUAAUAGCGUCCCCUAGGCCCAGUCUGCUUUCUGCUAGUGUUGUUUGCGCGCUCGGCAUGUCGCAGAAGGCGCGAGGCCGCUACAGGUGGUACUUGGAACAGAACUCAACUGAGCAAGUACCAAAGCAGACUCAGCAGCAUUGCCAAGCGAGCGAAAACACGGCGCGCAAGCAAGGUUAUUGCACCAAACAAGCAGGCAGCGGCCAUCCUGUGUGCCAAGAACUCCAGAUCAUCAGGCAGCCAGUGUUUCUGCAAAUGCAUCUCGGGAUGGUAACCUGAGCGUGUUGCCAGAUAUGGCUGCUUGUUGCUCGGAUGAGUGAACCACCAAUGCCUGAUGCCAGUAAUACAUGCGAAGGAGACGGGAGGGGUGAAGAUGAACGUGUUGUUCCUCCUCCCAGUGUUGCCACACAGGAUGUCAGCUGUGAAGAUGAUGAAGAGGCUGGCCAGGAACACUGAAGUACCUGUUCCAUGCGGCGCCAGCCCCAGAGAGAACGCAUGAAGGUGUUUUCAAGGUGAUGCUUCAAGCUGUGCAUAAGAGAACUACAGUCACCGGCGUUAAGGGGCCAUCUCCUUUGAUGAAGCUAAAAAGUCUAGACCUCGUGUGGGGCUUGCCCCCAGACUAUAUGCAUUGUGUAUUAGGUGUGACAAAACAGCAGUUGUGGCUUUCAUCUGUAGGAUCUGCCUACUACAUUGGCAGAGAGCUGAAAAUGCUGGAUGGGAGAUUGUGCAGCAUCAAGCCACCAGUAACAUUUGUACGAACACCGCGACCACUCUCAGAGCAUUCUUUUUGGAAGGCUGUUGAAUGGCGGCAUUGGCUUUUAUUUUACAGUAUUCCAUGCCUUUCAGAUGGGCUUGCACAAAGUUUCCUGGCUCAUUUUUCUCUGCUUUCCAAAGCAGUUUUUUAUUGCUUAAAGAUGUUGUUACGGCAAGUGACAUUAAUGAGGUAGAAGAGCUGUUGCUCAAAUUUGCUGCCCAUAUGUCAAGACUUUAUGGAGAAUCCUCAAUGACAUUUAAUGUUCACCAACUUCUACACUUGUCGAAGUCAACACGCAUGUUUGGUCCACUUUGGGCAACAUCGACAUUUCCCUUUGUAGAUGGCAAUGGCUUUGUAUUGCGUCUUAUUUCUGUGGCAAAGUUUGUGCCGAUGCAGGUAGCUGAGAGGUGCAUUAUGCGAGAGAUGUAUCAUAAUUUGGAAAGAACAGUGACUGUCUGCUCGCAUAGCAUCUGCGAAAGCAAAGAUGGAAGUUCAGUACAAAACAUGCUUUCAGACCUGUGUUCUUGGUGUGCCACAGCCAUUUUCAGGGAUGUCAGAAAUGCUGCGGGCACUAUUUCAAAAUUUGGGAGAGUGCCUGAAGUUUCACAGUACUUCCGAGCACAGGUUGGCACAGUAGUAAUACAUGCUGCAGACUGUUUAGUUCCGCGAAAAACUUCGUCGUGUUAUGUCAGCAUGAAGGAUGGCAAAUACAGUGUGUGUCUUGGGAAUUUAUGCGGACGCAAGCUCCAUGUAUUUUUAUUGUCAGCACAUGCUCAUUGGAGCUUGUGCUUUUGAUGUGCCUCACAUUAUGCAGUGCCAGCACCCGCCACCCUCAGAAAAUCUCUACCUGUAGACCAGUGAUGACUUGCAGGCACAGUGUGUAUUCUUCCCUGUAGGCAGCUCAUCCCACAUCUGUGAUGUUGGGAACUCGGUAGAAAAGUUUUGAUUCCACCCAUAGAUGUACUGCCACAUACAAGGCCUAGAGUGACUGACUGCUGAUCUUCUAGAGGACUCCUUUGUGGUGAAAUGGAGAGUUUGCAAAAUGUGUAUAGUUGAAAGUAUUCGUGUAAGCAGUGGUUAAUCAUGUGAACUCUUGA
This is a long non-coding RNA of Dermacentor silvarum, 2020 nucleotides long. RefSeq lists it as uncharacterized. Lineage: Eukaryota; Metazoa; Arthropoda; Arachnida; Ixodida; Ixodidae. The record is from RefSeq and is a predicted model, not a curated record. The transcript has 3 exons.